ACUAGUCCCAGCAGCUCCUUCUCCACCCCCCCCUCUCUGAAGCGCGAAGAGGUCACUAAGGGUAACAAAAAAUUGUAUCCCAGAGCAACUAGUAAGGCUUCAGUCCCGUCUCCUGUGAAUUGGUUGCUAUGGGAUACGGCUCUUUACUAGUAGCCACCCCCAGAACUGGCGCACGCGUUGGUCAUUGUAGGGUUGGACCCCCACCCCCUCGCUUCUGUUAGCACGGCGCCAUUAUUAAUAGCAGGUAACCCAUUUCACUCGAUAAACCACAUAGUAUUAGUCCGCCCACACACGCUUCCCGUUGUUCUUACGGUAAAGUAACAUUUAGGGUCACUUCCACAUCGUUUACAUGAACAAAAACGGCAGCGUGUUUGGCUCUUUUCCAAAAGCUAGGUAAGCAGCGCCACAACAAAGAUGGCGCCUCGCGGGCUUUGCCAGCACAUUCCAUCGAAUAUCUCCGCACCAGUUGGGUAAAACCGCCGCGGCUCCCCUCUACCCCAUGUAGCGCUUCCAGGAAAGCAACAUGCCGCGAAGAAACGAAAACGAGCGCCUUCCGUUUCGCCGAAACGUCGACGAACGUUGGUUCAACGCGACGACGUUUGUGCCACACACAACAUGGCGCCCCGACUCGGUCAGGGCAUUGACGUCAAGAGAGUCAGCUCUGGGAUUGGCCAUUUGGAAUUUUGUCGUUAGUAGCCGCACCCCUCAUGCUGCCGAUUGGUGCGUUUGUUAGAACGAACACAGAAUUGACGCUUUGCGGAUUUUCAUUGGCUGGUGGAAAUGCCCGUCUUAUGUCAUGCCUUCUGCUAGACAAACACAAAACCCGGAUUACGGUUGGCACUCUAGGAUUGCCUGAAUGCAUGUUUAUGUGAAGGGAAGAGGAAUUGCUGUCAGAAGCUUCUGGUGCUGACUUAUCUCACAGGAAAAUAAUAGUGAAACACAAAAGCUUUCAAAUGUGUCUGGAUGCUAUUUCCCCUGAGAUUAGUUGGCUGGAGAUAUCUACUGGUCCUCAUACACAUGAGAUCAUUACCCAACCCAGCUGGAUUAGGCAGCAAUAAUGAUAUGUCUAUGGCUGGAUUUACACCAGGCAUACACUUAUGCAGCACAUUCAUCAGCCGUCAGAUCUCUGCUGUUACAUGAAGCUCCAUGUACACACAUUUAUGCUGUCCCCAACACAGGAGACUCUAGAUCUAUUUUUGGUGCUCCCAGCAAUCAGAAUUUUAUGACUGUAUAAAUACCGUGGUCCUAAUGUAAAGAGUAUAAAUGUCUGGAUUCUGCAAUGAGACUAUAUACACUGUGCAGUAAAUGCUUCAGUGCAUGUAUGUAGAUUAAAGCCCAAUGGACACAAUUACUGUUUGUCUUUUGUCUGUUUUGUAUUUUAUUUUUUAAUCACUCAGCCAUUGACUUGUGUAAUCUCCAACUGUUACUGGUUUUAGAAGAGUUAAAAAAGCAAUUGAAAAACAUGAGAUAUGUUGAAACAAUGGAUAAAAAGCGCGUGAACAGGCUAUGCACUUUAAAUGACAGAUGGUUAUUAGACAAAAUUCUGAUGUAAACCUAUGCACCUAUAUUCAUGCACGUGUGUCCUACAGAUGUAUAGUAUACUUAUGUAGCACUACCCCCGUAGGAGCUGCUGGUUUAGAUUUGGGCCUUGCACGUUACCUCAACAUUUGUCGUCU
Long non-coding RNA from Rana temporaria (common frog), 1676 nucleotides. RefSeq lists it as uncharacterized. The transcript is spliced from 3 exons. NCBI's taxonomy places the organism in Eukaryota, Metazoa, Chordata, Amphibia, Anura, Ranidae. The record is from RefSeq and is a predicted model, not a curated record.